Molecule: unclassified non-coding RNA, 331 nt
Filed under: soil metagenome
Description: partial contains 5.8S ribosomal RNA, internal transcribed spacer 2, and large subunit ribosomal RNA
Rfam family: 5.8S ribosomal RNA (bases 1-120)
Source: RNAcentral
GAUGAAGAACGUAGUGAAAUGCGAUAAGUAAUGUGAAUUGCAGAAUUCAGUGAAUCAUCGAAUCUUUGAACGCACAUUGCGCCCCCUGGUAUUCCGGGGGGCAUGCCUGUUCGAGCGUCAUUUCACCACUCAAGCCUCGCUUGGUAUUGGGCAACGCGGUCCGCCGCGUGCCUCAAAUCGUCCGGCUGGGUCUUCUGUCCCCUAAGCGUUGUGGAAACUAUUCGCUAAAGGGUGUUCGGGAGGCUACGCCGUAAAACAACCCCAUUUCUAAGGUUGACCUCGGAUCAGGUAGGGAUACCCGCUGAACUUAAGCAUAUCAAUAAGCGGAGGA